UGCGGAUUAAUGUAAUGGUAGCAUAUUUGGCUCAUGACCAAAAAUUUAGGUUCGAUCCUAAGUCCGCAA
Molecule: transfer RNA, 69 nt
Filed under: Talaromyces stipitatus ATCC 10500
Lineage: Eukaryota; Fungi; Ascomycota; Eurotiomycetes; Eurotiales; Trichocomaceae
Description: tRNA-Met (CAT) (tRNA-Met-CAT-3-1)
Rfam family: tRNA
About the family: Transfer RNA (tRNA) molecules are approximately 80 nucleotides in length. Their secondary structure includes four short double-helical elements and three loops (D, anti-codon, and T loops).
Source: Rfam by way of RNAcentral